UUAAGCGACUAAGCGUACACGGUGGAUGCCCUGGCAGUCAGAGGCGAUGAAGGACGUGCUAAUCUGCGAUAAGCGUCGGUAAGGUGAUAUGAACCGUUAUAACCGGCGAUUUCCGAAUGGGGAAACCCAGUGUGUUUCGACACACUAUCAUUAACUGAAUCCAUAGGUUAAUGAGGCGAACCGGGGGAACUGAAACAUCUAAGUACCCCGAGGAAAAGAAAUCAACCGAGAUUCCCCCAGUAGCGGCGAGCGAACGGGGAGCAGCCCAGAGCCUGAAUCAGUGUGUGUGUUAGUGGAAGCGUCUGGAAAGGCGCGCGAUACAGGGUGACAGCCCCGUACACAAAAAUGCACAUACUGUGAGCUCGAUGAGUAGGGCGGGACACGUGGUAUCCUGUCUGAAUAUGGGGGGACCAUCCUCCAAGGCUAAAUACUCCUGACUGACCGAUAGUGAACCAGUACCGUGAGGGAAAGGCGAAAAGAACCCCGGCGAGGGGAGUGAAAAAGAACCUGAAACCGUGUACGUACAAGCAGUGGGAGCACGCUUAGGCGUGUGACUGCGUACCUUUUGUAUAAUGGGUCAGCGACUUAUAUUCUGUAGCAAGGUUAACCGAAUAGGGGAGCCGAAGGGAAACCGAGUCUUAACUGGGCGUUAAGUUGCAGGGUAUAGACCCGAAACCCGGUGAUCUAGCCAUGGGCAGGUUGAAGGUUGGGUAACACUAACUGGAGGACCGAACCGACUAAUGUUGAAAAAUUAGCGGAUGACUUGUGGCUGGGGGUGAAAGGCCAAUCAAACCGGGAGAUAGCUGGUUCUCCCCGAAAGCUAUUUAGGUAGCGCCUCGUGAAUUCAUCUCCGGGGGUAGAGCACUGUUUCGGCAAGGGGGUCAUCCCGACUUACCAACCCGAUGCAAACUGCGAAUACCGGAGAAUGUUAUCACGGGAGACACACGGCGGGUGCUAACGUCCGUCGUGAAGAGGGAAACAACCCAGACCGCCAGCUAAGGUCCCAAAGUCAUGGUUAAGUGGGAAACGAUGUGGGAAGGCCCAGACAGCCAGGAUGUUGGCUUAGAAGCAGCCAUCAUUUAAAGAAAGCGUAAUAGCUCACUGGUCGAGUCGGCCUGCGCGGAAGAUGUAACGGGGCUAAACCAUGCACCGAAGCUGCGGCAGCGACGCUUAUGCGUUGUUGGGUAGGGGAGCGUUCUGUAAGCCUGCGAAGGUGUGCUGUGAGGCAUGCUGGAGGUAUCAGAAGUGCGAAUGCUGACAUAAGUAACGAUAAAGCGGGUGAAAAGCCCGCUCGCCGGAAGACCAAGGGUUCCUGUCCAACGUUAAUCGGGGCAGGGUGAGUCGACCCCUAAGGCGAGGCCGAAAGGCGUAGUCGAUGGGAAACAGGUUAAUAUUCCUGUACUUGGUGUUACUGCGAAGGGGGGACGGAGAAGGCUAUGUUGGCCGGGCGACGGUUGUCCCGGUUUAAGCGUGUAGGCUGGUUUUCCAGGCAAAUCCGGAAAAUCAAGGCUGAGGCGUGAUGACGAGGCACUACGGUGCUGAAGCAACAAAUGCCCUGCUUCCAGGAAAAGCCUCUAAGCAUCAGGUAACAUCAAAUCGUACCCCAAACCGACACAGGUGGUCAGGUAGAGAAUACCAAGGCGCUUGAGAGAACUCGGGUGAAGGAACUAGGCAAAAUGGUGCCGUAACUUCGGGAGAAGGCACGCUGAUAUGUAGGUGAAGUCCCUCGCGGAUGGAGCUGAAAUCAGUCGAAGAUACCAGCUGGCUGCAACUGUUUAUUAAAAACACAGCACUGUGCAAACACGAAAGUGGACGUAUACGGUGUGACGCCUGCCCGGUGCCGGAAGGUUAAUUGAUGGGGUCAGCGCAAGCGAAGCUCUUGAUCGAAGCCCCGGUAAACGGCGGCCGUAACUAUAACGGUCCUAAGGUAGCGAAAUUCCUUGUCGGGUAAGUUCCGACCUGCACGAAUGGCGUAAUGAUGGCCAGGCUGUCUCCACCC
This 1999-nucleotide ribosomal RNA is filed under the name Escherichia coli. RNAcentral describes it as "bacterial LSU rRNA". It matches the Rfam family "Bacterial large subunit ribosomal RNA", at positions 1 to 2027 of the family's 2925-position model. The record is from RNAcentral. Lineage: Bacteria; Pseudomonadati; Pseudomonadota; Gammaproteobacteria; Enterobacterales; Enterobacteriaceae.